GCAUUGGUGGUUUAGUGGUAGAAUUCUCGCCUGCCACAGGGGAGAUCCGGGUCCGAUUCCUGGCCAAUACA
Molecule: transfer RNA, 71 nt
Filed under: Danio rerio (zebrafish)
Lineage: Eukaryota; Metazoa; Chordata; Actinopteri; Cypriniformes; Danionidae
Rfam family: tRNA
About the family: Transfer RNA (tRNA) molecules are approximately 80 nucleotides in length. Their secondary structure includes four short double-helical elements and three loops (D, anti-codon, and T loops).
Source: Rfam by way of RNAcentral